UCUUCCGUAGUAUAGUGGUCAGUAUGUGAGCUUGUCAUUCAACAACGCUCGAGACCCGGGUUCAAUUCCCGGCGGGAGAG
Transfer RNA from Podospora anserina, 80 nucleotides. It matches the Rfam family "tRNA". Rfam says of the family: Transfer RNA (tRNA) molecules are approximately 80 nucleotides in length. Their secondary structure includes four short double-helical elements and three loops (D, anti-codon, and T loops). Further hydrogen bonds mediate the characteristic L-shaped molecular structure. tRNAs have two regions of fundamental functional importance: the anti-codon, which is responsible for specific mRNA codon recognition, and the 3' end, to which the tRNAs corresponding amino acid is attached (by aminoacyl-tRNA synthetases). tRNAs cope with the degeneracy of the genetic code in two manners: having more than one tRNA (with a specific anti-codon) for a particular amino acid; and 'wobble' base-pairing, i.e. permitting non-standard base-pairing at the 3rd anti-codon position. NCBI's taxonomy places the organism in Eukaryota, Fungi, Ascomycota, Sordariomycetes, Sordariales, Podosporaceae. The record is from Rfam.